This is an RNA transcript of Physeter macrocephalus (sperm whale), 1408 nucleotides long. It is a transcript of the gene named interleukin-36 receptor antagonist protein, with no coding region annotated. The transcript has 5 exons. Lineage: Eukaryota; Metazoa; Chordata; Mammalia; Artiodactyla; Physeteridae. The record is from RefSeq and is a predicted model, not a curated record.
CGGAGGAGCAGGCAGACACCACGGGCCCUGCCAAGAGAGAGGAGCAUUCUGAGGUGUCCUCUGGGGAGCUGGGCUUCACCUCUCCUGACCCCAGGCCUAGAAUCCCCUGAUCCUUGGGGGCUGUUCAUAUGCCGGGGGGCGCUCAGGAGGCUGCUUACUGAGGCCCCUGGCAGCUCAGCCUCUAUCUGCACCUAAGAUUUUCUGUUAUCUCAAAAUAGGAGAGUCUACACACAGAAGCUCGAGAUGGUCCUGAGUGGGGCGCUGUGCUUCCGAAUGAAGGAUGCAACGCUGAAGAUGCUUUAUCUGCACAAUAACCAGCUUCAAGCCGGAGGGCUGCAAGCAGGGAAGGUCAUUAAAGGUGAGGCGAUCAGCGUUGUCCCUAAUCGGUCUCUGGAUGCCAAGCUCUCUCCAGUCAUCCUGGGCGUCCAGGGUGGGAGCCAGUGCCUGUCGUGUGGGACGGGGCAGGAACCGACCCUGAAACUAGAGCCAGUGAACAUCAUGGAGCUCUACCACAGUGCCGAGGAGUCCAAGAGAUUCACCUUCUACCGGCGGGAGACGGGGCUCACCUCUAGCUUCGAGCUGGCCGCCUUCCCGGGCUGGUUUCUCUGCACCAUGCCCGAAGCAGACCAGCCUCUCCGGGUCACUCAGCUCCCGAAGGACACCAGCUGGGAUGGCCCCAUCACCGACUUCUACUUCCAGCAGUGUGACUAGGGCAACAUGCCCCCAGGGCUCCCUGGGUGGGCCAGCUUGGGCAGGGCCAGGAGGUGUAGGAGGAGACCCGGUGAGCAACCCGCCUCUGCCCUCAGGGCCUCCACCGUGGAGGGGCUGGGCACACGGCCACUCUUCCUCCACCUCUUUCCCAGUUUGGGUAAAUCCUUCUGAGAUUUGGGGCUUAGUCCACAGUUUUCUUUUCUGCUGAAUGGCACUACUGAUGUGAAACCUUGCAGAAAGGUAAACCCCUAAGAUAAACCCCUAAGGGGUCAGGGGCAGGGGCAGGGGCAGGGGAGCGGCGGAAAUCCUUCAUGCUUCGUGGUAACGUACAGGUAACAAUCCUGUGCUUAGACCUGGAUUGGUCCCAGUCUUCUGAGAUUCCAAGAGGUGGGAUCCAGCCUCCAAGGGGUCUCCUGGGCUGGUGGAAUACUGUUCCCCACAGUUCAUGUCCUUCUGGGAACCUCAGACUGUGAUCUUUGUCAACUGAAAAAAAAAAAAAGUACAACCUUGGGGCUUCCCUGGUGGCGCAGCGGUUGAGAGUCCGCCUGCCGAUGCAGGGGACGCGGGUUCGUGCCCCGGUCCGGGAAGAUCCCACGUGCCGCGGAGCGGCUGGGCCCGUGAACCAUGGCCACUGAGCCUGCGCGUCCGGAGCCUGUGCCCCGCAACGGGAGAGGCCAAAACAGUGAGAGGCCCGCCU